UCGAGGAUCUUCGGCAAUGGGCGCAAGCCUGACCGAGCGACGCCGCGUGAGCGAUGAAGGCCUUCGGGUUGUAAAGCUCUUUAGUGGGGGAGAAAAGCCGCAAGGUGUGAUCUAUCCCAAAAAUAAGCACGGGCUAAGUUCGUGCCAGCAGCCGCGGUAAGACGAACCGUGCGAACGUUGUUCGGAAUCACUGGGCUUAAAGGGCGCGUAGGCGGGCUGUCAAGUCUGGGGUGAAAUCCCGCGGCUCAACCGUGGAACUGCCUCAGAUACUGACGGCCUCGAGGGAGGUAGGGGCAUGCGGAACUGUAGGUGGAGCGGUGAAAUGCGUUGAUAUCUACAGGAACUCCGGUGGCGAAGGCGGCGUGCUGGACCUCUUCUGACGCUGAGGCGCGAAAGCUAGGGGAGCAAACG
This 411-nucleotide ribosomal RNA is filed under the name uncultured bacterium. Its description in RNAcentral is "bacterial SSU rRNA". It matches the Rfam family "Bacterial small subunit ribosomal RNA", at positions 355 to 774 of the family's 1533-position model. The record is from RNAcentral.